GUUUUACCUUGACGAAUUGUAGUUUAAAGAAGUGUUUUCUGUUGAAGUUUUGGUAAAAGUUCUUUGGAAUAGGACAUCAUAGAGGGUGAGAAUCCCGUAUUUGACCAUUAUUUUCAGCUGUGUGAUACACUUUCAAAGAGUCGGAUUGUUUGGGAAUGCAGUCCAAAAUGGGUGGUAAAUUUCAUCUAAAGCUAAAUAUUGGCGAGAGACCGAUAGCGAACAAGUACCGUGAGGGAAAGAUGAAAAGAACUUUGAAAAGAGAGUUAAACAGUACGUGAAAUUGUCAAAAGGGAAGCGUUUGACACCAGUGUUGUUUUCUCGGAAAUCAAUUAAAAAAAGUUGGAUUUUGUGUUGUAUUGACCUUAACAGCUUUCUGCACUCUUUUCCUGCUUUUUUU
RNAcentral lists this ribosomal RNA (397 nucleotides) under uncultured Neocallimastigomycetes. RNAcentral's name for it is "eukaryotic LSU rRNA". It matches the Rfam family "Eukaryotic large subunit ribosomal RNA", at positions 127 to 521 of the family's 3401-position model. Lineage: Eukaryota; Fungi; Neocallimastigomycota; Neocallimastigomycetes. The record is from RNAcentral.